This is a non-coding RNA of Caenorhabditis brenneri, 60 nucleotides long. Lineage: Eukaryota; Metazoa; Nematoda; Chromadorea; Rhabditida; Rhabditidae. The record is from Rfam.
UGAACAUCCUGGUGACCAAACACAGUUAAAUCGGGAUGUUUGGUCGUCGAGACGUUCAAA